AUUGAGGCGUGUCUUCCCUGGUUCUGCGUCCGUGAAGCCUAGAGAUUCCCGAGCCUGGGUCACCCGGGCGGUGUCGCAUGUCGUCUGCGGGGAGGUUGGGGCUGCUCGCGCGAGGCGCUCUGGGUCUCAUUUCCGAGGCCGAAAAUGCUGGCUCCAAAGUGGUGCCCUGGGAGAUGAGGGCGACUCGCAGAUUCCACCCUAUUCUCUGAAUGGGCUUCGAGUCUCCAUGGUUGGAUGUAUUGGAUGUUACGACCACUAAACUUUCUUCUGAGCACACACGAGCAGUGGUGUUGUUCUCUCUGAGAAAUACUACAGGCUUUGGUGUUAAGACACUGGAAUUCCGGAAACCUGUCCCUGUCAUACCAGUUGCUGUGUGACCUCCGUCAAUCAUGGUUCUUUACUGAGCCCUGAGACUCCGCACGUGAAAAUGGAUGGGGAUGAACUUCCAGUCCAGGCAGUGCCACUGACUUUGCUUGGGGACCUGGGGCAAGCUCUGUGGCCCAGCAUUGCACCAUCUGUAACAACAUAACCAAGGGGUGCGCAAUUGAGCUUUGAGGUUAAUUUCGGUGCUAAAAUCCCGGUCAGUAGUUCCGUCAUCUUCACAGACCUCACCCUACCCAAUGCCCUUAUUGUGCUCCACAUCCCAAUCAACACUUACUGAUUCCAGAUUUGUAAUUUUUGCCAUUGUAGUGAGAAGUAAUUAACUAUUUUAUGGUUUUUUAAAUUUGAAUUUUUGACUAUCAGGAUUAGCAUAUUUUUUUUUUCUUCGUUAAAGACUAGUCAAGUGCAUUAGUGAGGAGGGGGGAAAGAGUAGACCAAGGAAUUUGGUCUGUAACUGACUGUGGACAAUACAUUGGUAGAACUCACUACCUUUGAGCCAGCCAGAAUCUUUUUAUUAUUCACUGGAUAUUCAGGUUUUGCCUCUGUAAAUUUUCUUUCAUUGCCAUUUUUUUCAAAUAGUUCAUUCAAUCUUUGUUUUCAGAUGUGCUUUCCACAAUCAGGUUACAAAUUCUCUGCCACUAAUGAUCAUUACAAUUCCUCUUCUCAGCCUGUUUAUUGUUUGGUCUGUUUAUGGUUUCUCAGGCUUCUUAUUUAUUUAUUUAGACAGAGUCAUGCUCUGUUUUCCAGGCUAGAGUGCAGUGGUGUGAUCUUGGCUCACUGUAGCCUUGACCUCCUGGGCUUAAGCAAUCCUCCCACCUCCGCCACCUGAGUAGCUGGGACUACAGGCGCAUGCCACCACCUGCAGCUAAUUUCUGUAUAUUUUGUAGAGAUGGGGUUUUGCCACAUUGCCCAGGCUGGUCUCGAACUCCUGGGCUCAAGCGAUCCAGCCGCCUUGGCCUCCAGAGUGCUGGGAUUACAGGUGUGAGCCACCAUGCCUGGACUAGGCUUCUUUAAACAUUGAAUAGUGUUCCUUUCUAGAUGAAGGAGGAUCACAUAGCACUUGGGAGCAAAGAUGCAGCCAAGUAACCCAGUGCUGGAGCCCACGAUGGAGAAGAUCUCACGGCCACUCUGGCCUUGCCCUGGGUGCUUUAGUAACUCGGGAGGAAGGCCACCCAGACACUGCAGGACACCAGCAUGCUGAAGGUCAGGAACUUGGCUUCGUUGAAAGCAUCAGGCAGGUUCCUUGCCAGAAAGGCUACAGCAAGGGACCCUAAAACCAAGAAGCCCAAGUAGCCCAAGACAGAGUAGAAGGCAGUGACGGAGCCCUCAUUACACUGGAUAAUGAUGUAGCCAGGCAUGAACUGAGGGUCCUUGUUUACGAAGGGAGGCUCUGUCCCCAGCCAGAUUCCACAGAGGGUCACUUGGGUAAAGGAGCAAAGGAAGACAACAGAAUUUGUUUUUUGGGGACCCAUCCACUUUCGGAUCCUGCUUUCUGGCCUUAUAGCCUGGAAGGCCCUGCAGAAAACACAGCCACUGUGAACACAGCUGCAAAGGUGGUCUGUGAGAGGAGGCAGGUGGCAGGGCUGGGGCGGCCGAUGAAGAGCGAGGAAGAGAGAAAGCAGAGUGUGAGGGAGACAAGGAGGGUGUAGCUCAGAGUCUGGUUGCUGGCCUUGACUAUGGGAGUGUUUUGGUGCCACACAAACUCCACAAGGAUCAGAACAGAGAGGACAGAGUAGAACAAGGCUGUGCAUGCCAGAGUCAGGCCCAAAGUUUCAUCAUAGGCCAGGAAGGUCUCCUAUUUGAGAAGGUAUGUUCCCUUUUCUUGUUUGGAUAAUGAUAUUCAGGACAAAGCCUGCAUUGUUUUAUAUCUGAAAUAAACAAAAAGGGUGUCACUGUCUCCAAAACAGAGCACUGCACGUUUGGUAAGAUUCCAUUGCCCAGAGCUCUCACCACCACAGCGCCAUUUAGGUGGACUGUUUGGCUGGUGUGUGUGUGUGUGUGAGAGUUGUGUGUGUGAGUUGUGUGUGUGCGUGCACGCAAGCAUGCGUAUAUGUGUUCUGCAUGUGUUUUAAAGGAAAACAUAAAUACUUCACCAGCUUUUUUUUUUGACCAUUUUAAUCAGUUUUAUUGAUUCAUGCUUCCGGUUCUUAUUCAGUUCAAAACAAGGCACAUUAAAUACAUCCUCUUAUUGCUUUAUAAAUGCACGUAGCUCAUUCUCUAUAUCAAAAGUAAUAAAUAAUGGCCAUAAAACACCAAGACCUUUAUAAAAAUGACAACCCAGCCUUGAACAUAGUAUUUAACAGUCCAAUCUAGAACAAUAACCCAACACGGUACAUCAAAGUGCCACAUAUGAAAACAUGCAGUGUGUGUAGUCACUCUAGUACUGAGCUUGCACUGGCUAUUCUUUAAAAACAUACUAGGGCUUUUUCACUCCUUAAAAAAGGUGGACAUGAUGCAAACAUUGCAAGUUAUAGCAUCACUGACUUUAAUAUUACAUUUAUGUGCCAAAAAUCUUUACAGAUACAUAAGAGAAAAUAAAAUCAAUGAUAACACCGUAUAUUUAAUAAAAGUGAAAAUGAGUUUUUUGUUGUGCCAAAGAGGAAGCUACAUAUUUUGAAACAGACAAAGCCAAGCCAGAAACUGAAGCAGAAGAGGGAUCACGCAUUUAAUAGCAGAAAUCCUAAUACACUCAGUAUAAAUUGAUUGAAAGCAGGAAUAUUGCAAACAGCAUGAUGGAUAUGAGGCAGACCACCGUGGCUAAACAAAUAAUCCAGCAUUAUCAUUAUUGUUAUGACUGUGGUGGGGCUAUUUAAAGGAGUAUCCAACUCUCUAGCACAGAUGGGGGUUCCUUCACCUGACUCCCCUUAAAGGCUCUUGAAAUAAAUCACUUGAUAAUAAAAGGCAAUCCCUGCAUACCCACCCCAACCCCAACAGAAUCAACUAAUGUCAAGUUUAUAUGCAAAUGGAAAAUUUUUUCUUUUGUUCUUGGAACGAAUUUCAAAGAAGCUCAUUCCCCCCUAUUUCUUGUCUCCCUUUCUUAAAUCAGGUAAGGAAGCUGUACAGGCUUAAUUCAGAACUUAUGGCUGGGUGCAGUGGCUCACGACUGUAAUCCCAGCACUUUGGGAGGCUGAGGUGGGUGGAUCACGAGGUCAGGAGUUUGAGACCAGCCUGACCAACAUGGUGAAACCCCAUCUCUACUAAAAAUACAAAAAUUAGCCAGAUGUGGUGGCGGGUGCCUGUAAUCCUCACUACCCGGGGGGCUGAAGCAAAAGAAUUGCUUGAACCUGGGAGGCAGAGGUUGCAGUGAGCCGAGAUUGCACCACCGCACUCCAGCCUGGGCGACAGACCAAGGCUCCAUCUCGGGAAAAAAAAAAAAAAAAAAAAAGAAUUUACACAAAAUGCUGGGGUGCUUUAUUCACAGUAAUGGCUUGAAAUCAGUUCAUUUCCAAACGAGUCUCUGGGAUUGGUGAAGGACCGUGUGUUUUAGCAUUUAGCAGAUUUUAAGUAAAAGCAGAUAUGCUCAAAAGAAGAAAAGUGUGCUUUUCUUUGUCCUUAAAGGAACUUCAUUCAUAGCAAAAUAUGCACAAACAAGACCUGUUUAACAAACACAGAUCUGCUCGGGCCAGUCGCAUCCUAAGCCCGGUCCCUCCUGUAACUAUGGUCCACUGGAAUUGGGACUCUUCUGUCGAGGUUCUCUUCUGCAGUUUUCAUUAGUAUAAAGAGCCGGCUUCCAGACACCCUUCCUUUUUGAAUAGCACUCAUCAGCUGCAAAAAUUCAUUGAGUUCAACCUGUCCAUUUUUAUUCAAAUCGACUUCAUUUAGAAUUUCAUGGAGUGUAUUUUCAUCCAUUUGGACAUUGAUACUCUCUAAUACACAUGGAACAUCAACAAUGGUAAUAAAGCCUUUCUGGUCUGCAUCAGACUUACAAAAUCUCUUCUUAUACCUGUCACUGUCUGAAGGCAGUAGGCUAAUUUCAGAGCCAUCUGUUAACUGUUCUGAUCAAAGUUUAGUCUGUUUCAUAAUAUAGAAACUUCCUGGUUGUUUCAAGUUGUUCCUGUUUCUUAUAAUCAUCUCAAUUCUGUUCUCUGCCCAUUAGUUCAACAAUCCUGAGUAGGGCUUGCUCUGCUGCCCGGACAUUUAGAAAGGCCAGGCGAGGCUGAGGCAGGCAGAUCACCUGAGGUCAGGAGUUUGAGACCAGCCUGACCAACAUGGAGAAACCCAAUCUCUACUAAAAAUACAAAAUUAGCCAGGCGUGGUGAUGUCCUGACCAACAUGGAGAAACCUAAUCUCUACUAAAAAUACAAAAUUAGCCAGGGUGGAGACCCAAUCUCUACUAAAAAUACAAAAUUAGCCUGUAACUCCAGGUACUCGGGAGGAUGAGGCAGGAGAAUCGCUUGAACCCAGGAGGCGGUGAUUGCAGUGAGCCGAGAUCAUACCAUUGCACUCCAGCCUGGGUGACAAGAGCGAAAUUCUGUCUCAAAAAUAAUAAUAAUAAUAAUAAUAAGCCAGGCGAGUACAACGUGAAAUCAUAUCCACGGUGGUGCAGGAAUACUCCUUAAUCCCAUAGUUCACCUCUGCUUCAAUAUAUGGAAAUUCUGACACAAGACGUACUCCAACAAUAGGCCACCUUUUGCUAGUCACACUUGCCAUUGUGGCCACCUCAAAAGCCUUAUCACCAUAGGUGGCAGCAAGAUGCUGUGCCCCCUCGCUUUCAAGUCCAUAAUCCUGGACAAGCUUCAUGUAGAGUGUGGGGUUCCAAUCUUUACCCCCUUGAAGGAAAAGCCCAGCUGUUCUACUUGGUCCUGCUUUCAAAUUGUGGGUUUUGAUAGCAGCAUUUAGGGUAUCUUCGCCACAGACCGGUAAGUUGUCCACUUUCCACCUGCUGUAGUAAUAAGACUUCUCUCACUGACAUGGACAACAUGAUUUCAGGAGAUAGACUGAGUAUCUGCAGAUUUGGGAUCUGUAACAAGGGGACGGAUACUGCUCCACGCUGCUAGGAUGUCGCCCCUCUUCUCACCUCAACAUCACAGCUCAGGUAAUUACGUGCUUCAUUCAAAAUGAAGUUAAUAUCUUCUUCUGAAGGACUUGGAUGGUGUGUAAUAUCAGUUGGGGUAUCAGUAGUGCCAGCAAUCAUCAUCUUUUGCCAGGGUAAGAAGAAAAUAACUCGCCCAUCACUGGUCAAGAAGUCCCAUGCCCUCUGGGCUGUAAUAACCAGGCAUCACAAUGUGGACACCAGCAGUUGGCUGGCAGAUAGCUGCAGCAUCCUUAUCAUCUAUUUUGCACACAGAGUCUGUGAAAUGUCCAACGGCAUUGAUAACACACUUGGCUUUCAUGUCAAAUUCCUGCCCUGUGAGGACAUCCUUGCACCAUGCACCACUCACACGCACUUUCGCUGUCUGUCUGGGUGUCUGUCUUCUUAAGCAAGCUCACUACCUCCCUGUCAUUGACUGUGGCAUCCCCAUAUCUGGCAGCAGUCAGCACAAUGGCAAGGUUCAUCCAUGCAUCGUUAUGUCGUCCAUCAUAGUAGACAAUUCCUCCUACCAGUUUGUCCUUCUGGAGCAUUGGGAAAUGUUCAAGGGCUCUUGAUUUGCUGAGGACAUAACUGCUUUUCAGGCAAUUACUUCCUGCAACCAAAUCAUACAGCUUGAUUCCUACCCAGUAGUAAGGUAACUGCCACCACUUGUAAACUGGAAGCAUGAUAGGCAAUGGAGCUGAUAAAUGGGGAGAAAUUUCUGGCAGGUUGGCACGCUCAUCAAGGGCUUCUGUUACCAUCCGGUACUGCUCAAUAUCCAACUUCAUCAUGGCCUUCUGAAGAUAUCUCACACCACCAUGGAUCAAAUUAGUGCUUCUGCUGCUGGUCCCUGGCAUUGAAGACUGUUCCUUUCUGGGUGAAGGAGAAUCACGUAGCAAUUGGGAGCAAGAUGCAUCCAUGUAACCCAGUACUGGAGGUCAAGAUGGAGACAAUCUCCACAGCCACCAUGGCCUUUCCCUGAGUGCUACUAUAACUCAGGAGGAAAG
This 6399-nucleotide long non-coding RNA is filed under the name Homo sapiens (human). RNAcentral's name for it is "non-protein coding lnc-EDDM13-5:11". Lineage: Eukaryota; Metazoa; Chordata; Mammalia; Primates; Hominidae. The record is from RNAcentral.